UGAGGAAUAUUGCACAAUGGAGGAAACUCUGAUGCAGCGACGCCGCGUGAGGGAAGAAGGUAUUCGUAUUGUAAACCUCUGUCUUUGGGGACGAAAAAAUGACGGUACCCAAAGAGGAAGCACCGGCUAACUACGUGCCAGCAGACGCGGUACAACGUCGGGUGCAAGCGUUGUCCGGAAUUACUGGGUGUAAGGGGAGCGCAGGCGGAUCUUUAAGUUUGACGUUUAAUCUACGGGCUUAACCCGUAUCAUCGUUCAAAACUGGGGAUCUUGAGUGGAGUAGAGGCAGGCGGAAUUCCAGGUGGAGCGGUGGAAUGCGUAGAUAUCUGGAGGAACACCAGUGGCGAAGGCGGCCUGCUGGGCUCUAACUGACGCUGAGGCUCGAAAGCAUGGGUAGCAAACA
This 403-nucleotide ribosomal RNA is filed under the name uncultured prokaryote. RNAcentral's name for it is "bacterial SSU rRNA". It matches the Rfam family "Bacterial small subunit ribosomal RNA", at positions 355 to 774 of the family's 1533-position model. The record is from RNAcentral.